RNAcentral lists this long non-coding RNA (201 nucleotides) under Homo sapiens (human). RNAcentral's name for it is "long non-coding RNA NONHSAT169025". The record is from RNAcentral. Lineage: Eukaryota; Metazoa; Chordata; Mammalia; Primates; Hominidae.
GCCGGGCAGGAGGGCAGAGGCUCAGGGCUGGUGUGACCUCUUCUUCCAGACCCAGUCCCCCUUCUCUGCCUCUUCCCUCUCCAAUCCCAGAGACUUGGCCCCUGUACCUCAUCCCAGGCCUGCCCAGGGGGACCUAGGGGUCAGAGGCGGAUGGCCUGGCUCCUGGCCCCUAGUCUUGUGUCUGCUGGGGCUUCCUGCUCG